GACGAACGCUGGCGGCGUGCUUAACACAUGCAAGUCGAACGAAGUGGCGAACGGGUGAGUAACGCGUAAUCAACCUGCCCUUCAGAGGGGGACAACAGUUGGAAACGACUGCUAAUACCGCUAACUGAAGUGGGGGAUUGCGUCGGAUUAGCUAGUUGGAGGGGUAACGGCCUACCAAGGCGAUGAUCAGGAGCCGGGCUUGGAGGAUGAACGGCCACAUGGGGACUGAGAAACGGCCCAGACUCCUACGGGAGGCAGCAGUGGGGAAGCUUCCGCAAUGGACGAAAGUCUGACGGAGCAACGCCGCGUGAGUGAUGACGGCCUUCGGGUUGUAAAGCUCUGUUAAUCGGGACGCGGUACCGGAAUAGAAAGCCACGGCUAACUACGUGCCAGCCGCCGCGGUAAUAC
Molecule: ribosomal RNA, 408 nt
Filed under: uncultured bacterium
Lineage: Bacteria
Description: partial 16S ribosomal RNA
Rfam family: Bacterial small subunit ribosomal RNA
Source: RNAcentral